This 1051-nucleotide ribosomal RNA is filed under the name Sordariomycetes sp. RNAcentral describes it as "eukaryotic LSU rRNA". The stretch from base 473 to 1051 matches the Rfam family "Eukaryotic large subunit ribosomal RNA", at positions 1 to 512 of the family's 3401-position model. The record is from RNAcentral. Lineage: Eukaryota; Fungi; Ascomycota; Sordariomycetes.
CUACGCAGCGCGCCGGCCCGCCGGCGCCGCCUGCCACCCCCGCGAACGCUACCCUGUACCCGUUGCCUCGGCGGGCGGCCCCCGGGGGGCCCCGGGCGGACGCCCGCCGGAGCGACCCACCAGACCCUGCUGAACCGGCCCCUCUGAGCGAAACCGCAAACCGGUCAAAACUUUCAACAACGGAUCUCUUGGCUCCAGCAUCGAUGAAGAACGCAGCGAAAUGCGAUAGCUAAUGCGAAUUGCAGAAUUCAGUGAGUCAUCGAGUCUUUGAACGCACAUUGCGCCCGCCGGCAUUCCGGCGGGCAUGCCUGUCCGAGCGUCAUUGCAACCCCUCGCGCCCCGCGCGGUGUUGGGGCACCACGGCCGCCGUGGGCCCCCAAAGGCAGUGGCGGGUCCGCCGCGGUCCCGGGCGCAGUAACGAGGCUCGCCCAGGGCGCCGCGGCGGGCGCCCCUCAGCGUCUCCACACAAGGUUGACCUCGGAUCAGGUAGGAAUACCCGCUGAACUUAAGCAUAUCAAUAAGCGGAGGAAAAGAAACCAACAGGGAUUGCCCCAGUAACGGCGAGUGAAGCGGCAACAGCUCAAAUUUGAAAUCUGGCCCCCGGGCCCGAGUUGUAAUUUGCAGAGGACGCUUCUGGCCCGGCCCCUUCCGAGUCCCCUGGAACGGGGCGCCGCAGAGGGUGAGAGCCCCGUACGGUCGGACGCCGGCGCCAGUGUGAAGCUCCUUCGACGAGUCGAGUAGUUUGGGAAUGCUGCUCAAAACGGGAGGUACAUUCCUUCUAAGGCUAAAUACCGGCUGGAGACCGAUAGCGCACAAGUAGAGUGAUCGAAAGAUGAAAAGCACUUUGAAAAGAGGGUUAAACAGCACGUGAAAUUGUUGAAAGGGAAGCGCCCGCGGCCAGACUUGGGCGGUCCGAUCACCCGGCGCUCGCGCCGGUGCACUCGGCCCGCCCGGGCCAGCAUCGGCUCGCGCGGGGGGACAAAGGCCCCGGGAACGUAGCUCCCCCCGGGGAGUGUUAUAGCCCGGGGCGCAAUGCCCCCGCGCGGGCCGA